Molecule: ribosomal RNA, 497 nt
Filed under: uncultured bacterium
Lineage: Bacteria
Description: partial 16S ribosomal RNA
Rfam family: Bacterial small subunit ribosomal RNA
Source: RNAcentral
GAUGAACGCUGGCGGCGUGCCUAAUACAUGCAAGUCGAGCGAACGGACGAGAAGCUUGCUUCUCUGAUGUUAGCGGCGGACGGGUGAGUAACACGUGGAUAACCUACCUAUAAGACUGGGAUAACUUCGGGAAACCGGAGCUAAUACCGGAUAAUAUUUUGAACCGCAUGGUUCAAAAGUGAAAGACGGUCUUGCUGUCACUUAUAGAUGGAUCCGCGCUGCAUUAGCUAGUUGGUAAGGUAACGGCUUACCAAGGCAACGAUGCCUAGCCGACCUGAGAGGGUGAUCGGCCACACUGGAACUGAGACACGGUCCAGACUCCUACGGGAGGCAGCAGUAGGGAAUCUUCCGCAAAGGGCGAAAGCCUGACGGAGCAACGCCGCGUGAGUGAUGAAGGUCUUCGGAUCGUAAAACUCUGUUAUUAGGGAAGAACAUAUGUGUAAGUAACUGUGCACAUCUUGACGGUACCUAAUCAGAAAGCCACGGCUAACUACGUG